AUACGUAGGUGGCGAGCGUUGUCCGGAUUUACUGGGCGUAAAGCGUGCGUAGGCGGUUAGGUCAGCUGGGUGUGAAAGGUUGGGGCUUAACUCCAACAUUGCACCCAAUACUGCCUGGCUUGAGUACCGGAGAGGAGAACGGAAUUCCACGUGUAGCGGUGAAAUGCGUUGAGAUGUGGAGGAACACCAGUGGCGAAAGCGGUUCUCUGGACGGUGACUGACGCUCAUGCACGAAAGCCAGGGGAGCGAACGGGAUUAGAUACCCCGGUAGUCCUGGCCAUAAACGAUGGGCACUAGGUGUGGGGAGCAUCGACCCUCCCCGUGCCGCAGUUAACGCAUUAAGUGCCCCGCCUGGGGAGUACGGCCGCAAGGUUGAA
This 377-nucleotide ribosomal RNA is filed under the name uncultured bacterium. Its description in RNAcentral is "bacterial SSU rRNA". It matches the Rfam family "Bacterial small subunit ribosomal RNA", at positions 523 to 898 of the family's 1533-position model. The record is from RNAcentral.